Long non-coding RNA from Gasterosteus aculeatus aculeatus (three-spined stickleback), 2510 nucleotides. The record is from Ensembl. NCBI's taxonomy places the organism in Eukaryota, Metazoa, Chordata, Actinopteri, Perciformes, Gasterosteidae.
UGGCGCUGCGGGGGACAAAAAAGGAAACACGUGGAGAUCCAAUAAAUUCUUUUUAUCGAUUUUCCAAUAAAAAAUACAUUCAUACAGAAACUAUUUUACAAAACAAUUUCAAAUGAAAAAAUCUUGUUAUGCCAUAAAACAAACAAAAAUAGAGCCUCGUAUUCUCAUCUCCGUGGUUAUCCGAUAAAGAUUCUCAAGCUAAAGAGUCUUUAAAAAGUUGAGAAAAAGAUCACAUGGCAAAAAAAAACAAAAAACAUAACACUUAGCGAGCAACAGAAUGCAGAAUUAUAACAAUUCAAGUGUCCAGAACAAUUCACAUCUGAAAAGUCUUUUUUUUGUCUUGUUUUGCGUUUUCUUGAAAGAUGACAGGCCACAGGUGUUUUUACGCAAACGAUGCCCUUUUCUUUCUUCUUUUUAAACGUACAUUUGCUUCACCGUCCAAUCAAAAGCUGAUCAAGAACAAAGGUGUUAAGAGAAGCGAAUGAGGGGGGGAAGGAGUGAGUCAUUUUUACAAUAAUUCUUCAGGCUCUCGUCUUUACUGCUCUCGAAACAACACACUGCGCUCGUUUUUUUUGGUCCCAUACCCUUUCAAAAUAGAAGCUUCCUUACAAAAUUCUCUUAGUUUACAAUGUACAUGUCUUUGCAUUCUUGGUAUUCUCAGUGUAUGGACUUUCUUUAACGCUGCCCACGUUCACCUGCACAGAUCAACGGACGAUCGACCCCUUAAAACCGGCCGUACCUUUCAUAGCCGAUCGGGAUCUUUGUCAACACUUUCAUGAGCCUUUCAAUUUCAAACAAAAGUCAAAGCUCAUCUAAUUGUGAAUUUAAAAAAAAAAAAAAAACCUCUCAAAAAGUCCAGGGAGGAGCGCGUCGAAGUCGAGGAACUCAAGUUAAAACGCGGAUGUGGUGAAGGUGUUACGGACAAACGUGUCUCCUCUCAGGUCGGACGAGGACAGAAACCUCCUGACCUGCAGCACGAGUCCCAGCUGAACCGGUCGGGCGGUUUUCUUUUUCGUACCGCUUGUUCAGAUCACGGGUUGUUUCAACCACACCGAUUGGCCCGAGGGGCGAGACUCUCCAAAAACACACAACAUCAAAACACACUCGCGAUGGAGAAAGUCGUCAUCGCUUCGGCGGGACUCCUUUCCUUUAGAGACUUUUUCGACACAUGAACGGCGACGUGGAAACACCUUCUUUGCGGUUAAAAUCCUAAUCUGUCACAGCCUCGGUGGCCGGGCCGGCCACGUUUUCAUGAGAACAUAUUUCCAAAACUCUGUACCCUUGACGGCGAGUAUCCUCGCCAAUUUGUACUACACAGUAGUAACUCUUUACAAAACUGAGUUGCUUUUUCGAGUGCUCCAAGAUUCUGUCCGGGACCUGGAUCCUUUUUUGGGGUGAAUUAUUUAGUCUAGAUAAUAGUUAUAACGAUAUGUUCAACAGAGAAAUUGCCAGUCAUUAUCAAGAUGAUGUUUAGCCGUUUUCUGUAUUGUUAUUAGUUAGGAGGAAUCGGUUGCCAGACAAAAGGGGCGAAGGUGCGACUGCACGGAACAGAGCCUUUUUAAAAAAAAAGCAAUUCAAUAACCGCAACCCGCAGAUGUGUGUGUGUGUGUGUGAGAAAGAGAUCUAUCUUACAGGACAAGGCCACUUACAUAAGGCAUCAGUAAGGUCAACAGUGCAUUUACAGGUAGAACAAAAGACAAGAGCAAAAGUGAAGAAACAAAUCCCACAAUCAAGAAAGUUGCCAAGCAACAGUGGUAUUCCCAACUUAUCAAGAACAAAAGAAAAUGACUGCCUUAUGUUUUACGCAAAUAUACUAUGAUAUCGAGUAUUAUGAACGUAGCUGCUCUCAAAUGGGAUUUUGUCGUCCCACAAGCAAACGGGUGAGCAACACAUCCCCAGAUCCCAUGCGAGUCCUGUUAUAAUGGCAUAACUGUUUUGUGUACAACCGUUUUUUUUUUUUGUAAUUUCGUUUUUUAGGAUACAAAGUUUACACAAUGGACAACAAAAUGAGCUUAAUAGCGUGUAUGCUUUUAAGACAGGCUACGUAAUACAUUGCACUUUUAAUAGCUGCACUAAACUAAACGACCUCCCGUGUUUUUUGGAAAAAAUCAAAAGGGGGGGGUGGAGGGGUGGCCGCAGUUUUGUCGCCUCCGGGCAGAAAGGGGGCGCUCUUCUCUCUGCUGGCACGGUGUUGUUGUUGUUGUUGUUUGCAUUCAUUGUCAGUGAGACCACGGGUACCCCCCCCCCAAAAAAAAAUCUCCCUCCCCCUUUUCUAACAUCCGUGUCAUUCACCCGCUGUUCCACAAUGCAAGCUCCAUCCGCUCCAUGAAAGCCGGCACAGGCGUCCAGUCUCAGGCAAACACACGUCGGUGGAGGAGCGGAUCCCCCGCACGAGUCCCAUAAUCCUCCAGGAAAAAAGCGUUCACCAUACAGAAGAGUCUCUUUCCGUCUACUCCAGCCCGGUCCCCCCCAAACUCCCCCCCCUUUAUUUAUUUAUUUAUAUUUUAUCC